Molecule: long non-coding RNA, 1082 nt
Filed under: Homo sapiens (human)
Lineage: Eukaryota; Metazoa; Chordata; Mammalia; Primates; Hominidae
Description: HSALNT0362826
Source: RNAcentral
AGUGUGUCUGAGUCCAUAGAGUGUUAGCUACAGAAACCUUUCCAUUGCCAUUCUGAGCAAGUGCAGCAGGCAGUGUGCCUACAGCUCUGCAAAGAAACUUCAGAUAGCAGAUUCUGUCAACCACAUUUCAUAAAGAGUUCUGAUUCUAAGAGAGCCAUACACCUGAAGGAGGGAUGGAAAGACUAGGAGAGCCUGGGAUCCUCAGAGAUGGAGAUCUGGAUGUGAAGAGAAAGAGAAAAACAAAAGUCAACAGACAGUACUGUGACCAAGUCAGUGAUGGUGAGAUCAGCAGCAUCUCUAGGACCCUUCUGAUUGACAUGAAGUCACCAUCAAGUAGGCAGAACUCACAGGACUUAUGGAGCAAGGAUGACUGACACAAACACAAAAAUCAUUCUGCCUGUUGAAUGAAUCAUAAAAUACUGUCUUUGAUCCAGGAGGCUUGUGUCAUCUGCCAGCAUUUAUGAAACUGUGCUCCAAGUAGGAAUCUGGAGAAAAAAAGCUAUGAAGAGCAAGAGGUGGUAGAGAAUGGUGUUGUUGAAAUUGCCUGACAUCACUGGAGAUAAUUUGCCCUGGAAAGAAGCACUCCUUAGGGAGGAGCAUCUGCACAUUCCAUUAGCAUAAAGCACCUGGUCAGCCAUAUGAAGAAGUCUGGAUUUUGUUUUAAAUGUGAAAUUUAUUUUAAAUGGAGGAUUUGAAACAAGGGAGUAAUAUAACCUGACAUAUUUUAAAAAAUCACUCUGGCAGCUGCGUGGGGGACAAACUCUGGGAGGACAAGAGGAGAUGUGGAAGGGAGAAGGCGGCUAAGAGUCUGUCCCAGGAUUGCAAAGAUUUCGGAGCCCGGCCUCAGGUGGUAAUGGUGGAGGUGUUAGAAAUGGCUGGAUUCCACAUAUAUUUUGAAAGGCCAGCACAUGGAAUUUGCUUAUGGAUGUUCCAUAAAUAAGAGAAAAAGAGGGCUCAGUGAUGAUUCCUGGGCUUUUGACUUAAGCAACUAGAAGGAUAAAGUCUCCAUUAACUGAUAUGGGGAAGACUGAGGAAGGAGACGCUGUGUAUGCCAGGAUUGGGCUGUGUGUGUGUGUGUAUGU